AGAUGAAACCAUGUUGUUGUUACAAAAAGUGUGACUCAAAUGAAGAAUUUUUUGAAAGAUAUGUUUGAGUAUCAAAAAUAAAAUUAUAAUUUUCUUUUAAAAAAAUAAAAAAAUAAAAAAUGGAAGUUUCAGCGUCAAAGUAGAAUAGCUAAAUCCAUGCCGUUGUCAUGGAUAAUAUGCCAAAAAAAUUAGUUAAAUUUUUUCAAAGUAUUACUUUUUAAUAUAUUAAAAAAUAUUUAAACCAAUGCAAUACAUUACAAUGAGGACACGGACACAAACCAUUUAUCCUCUUUAGAUUAUGUAUAGCUUCAAUGCUGGUCACUACAACCUCUCUUUAACAUCUAUCCUUACAAUCAUUUGUAACUGUUUCAGCUUUUCUUUGUGCUCUUUCAUGUUUCCUAGACUAUUUCAUGUUUCCUAGACUUGUUAAGAAAUUUUGAUUUGAUUCAUUCUAUUGAUUAUUAA
This 465-nucleotide long non-coding RNA is filed under the name Physcomitrium patens. RNAcentral's name for it is "long non-coding RNA (PPAT_LNC000994)". Lineage: Eukaryota; Viridiplantae; Streptophyta; Bryopsida; Funariales; Funariaceae. The record is from RNAcentral.